GGGUAUAAUUUUUCGAUCGCAUCUCGACCGUCCUCAUAUCCGACACAAUAAGAAGCAUAUCCGACUUCGAGAAUUUCUUCCUUAAACUCUUCAGAAUUUUUGAAGUUCUCGACGAUUUGAUCCAAGGCUUCCCUCGCCGACUCUGCUUCAGCUCGCGCGGAGGCCGACUCAGCAUCAACCAAUGCCAACCUUUCCAAGGUGGCCCGAUG
Molecule: long non-coding RNA, 209 nt
Filed under: Elaeis guineensis (African oil palm)
Lineage: Eukaryota; Viridiplantae; Streptophyta; Magnoliopsida; Arecales; Arecaceae
Description: long non-coding RNA (EGUI_LNC030361)
Source: RNAcentral